Molecule: transfer RNA, 69 nt
Filed under: Dipodomys ordii (Ord's kangaroo rat)
Lineage: Eukaryota; Metazoa; Chordata; Mammalia; Rodentia; Heteromyidae
Rfam family: tRNA
About the family: Transfer RNA (tRNA) molecules are approximately 80 nucleotides in length. Their secondary structure includes four short double-helical elements and three loops (D, anti-codon, and T loops).
Source: Rfam by way of RNAcentral
GGGAGUGUAGCUCAGUGGUAGAGUGCUUGUCUAGCAAGGGCAAGGUCCUGGGUUCGAUUCCCAGCACCA